GGGAGAAUGGCUGCAACAAAAACAGCUGCAAAAAUGGAAUCGGAUGGAAAAUCGGCAGUUAGUUCUCCAGGAAAAGCAAAGCAAACGUCUGGAUUUCUGAUGUCAAUUGUUCGCACACUUUCAUCGAGUGCUGAUUUUGAACAAAGGGGAAAGGAAAAAAAGCGCAUUGAAAAAGCCUUCCAGGAAAGUGAUAAAAAAUUAGGACUUCUAGUGAAAGAAAACUACCAGGAUUUGACCUCAAUAUUGAAAUCCUUUAGUGACAUCAGUGACAAAGUGAAUGAGUCGCGAACGAAGAUCAAGAAUAUCAAAGAAGAUCUGAGCAGCUGUAAGACGCUGCUCCAUUGCAAGAGGGACGAGCUGCGCAAACUGUGGAUCGAGGGGGUGGAGCAGAAAACUAUUGCCUCUCUACUGGACCAGAUUGAACAAGUGAAGAAUGUCCCAGAGAAACUGGACACACAUUUUGCCCGGCGGGAAUAUCUACAGGCUACAAACUGCAUUGUGGCGGCAGUUGCCAAAUUGGAGAGUAAUUUGUCCCACAUUGAAGCUCUGCGUGAUCUGAAGGUAGAAAUACUGGCAAGAAAAGAGCGUAUGCAUGAAGUUCUCAUAGAGGAGCUGAACAGACAGAUCUAUACCGUAUCGUCCCAGGCCUCUCAAAGUCGAACUGGGUCAGGUCGAACUGGGUCAGGCCGACAUGGUGACAUGUCUCUUAGAGUCAUGAUGGAGUUUUCGGAUGCAAGGGAUGACACACAUGUGGAGGAUGACCCUCAGAAGUUGAUCUCCUCACUUCUUGAAUCACUCUACAUACUGAACAAGACACCAGAAGCUGCUGAGGCCAUCAAGAUGAGGAUGCAUCAAGAGCUGAUAGCAAUUGUAGCAAGAGCUUCACACCAGCUGGUUGACAGUAGUGGCAGUCCAGGUGAGAACCUGAUGGGCCAGUUCCUGCCCAGACAGCUCAGUGACCUCCUAGAUAUCAUCUUCAGACAGUUCAGAAGUGUGGCCAACAUCCAUGACGUUGUAUUGGCCAAUCUACGCAAAAUUAUGCACGAGAAAGCAGAGCAAUCUGGGGUCUACAUCAAGCCUGAGAGCAUGUACACUAAAAGAGAUGUGUGGUCCAAGAUACAGGCAGUGACGGAGUUGCUACUGAAUGAGUACUUAGACGUGCGUAACACGGUGAAGUCACGACAACAGGCACCCAGUAACUAUGAGGAGGCAACUAUGGACAUUGGCACGUACUUCACUAAGAAAAAGACUCAGAAACAGAAAAAGGGAUCCCUGUUCAGGUUCGAUGCUUCAAUUCACGCUUUGAGUACCAACAGCUAUGUGGAGGACACACACCACUUUGAGAGUGAGCUGUUUGGAGGGGGCACCAUGCAUAUGGACACACCAAAACAUGUCUUUGUGUGCAAGCCAUCUGUGGACAACAUCCGAAGUAUCUACAAACAGCUGCAGAUAUUUAUCAAGGAAGUGGAGAGCUCAUCAGCCCUUCAACCUGGGGAGUCAAGCCUUAAUGAGUUUGUGAAGAACUUUGUGGAGGACACGUAUCUAGGACACAUCCACUACGUUGUCUCCAACAAUAUAGACAUCGCCACAAAAGUGGACGAAGAAGAGGAAAGUUUUGAUGCUCUAAGGAAUGUGAUAGAUCACAAGACACAGAAGGAGCUGGGGGUGCCACGCCCACUUUUACAGAGCACAGUGACAGUGGACAAGAGUGUCUCUGAGCUGAAGGAUUUGAUGACAGAGCUACCUGACUAUGCUGACCAGUUCCUGAACAUGAUAUGCAAUGUGUUACGUGGAUACAGGGACACCUGCCAUAACGCUUACAGAGGCAUAGUGCAGUAUGAUGCUGAUGAGAAGAGAGUUAUCAGUGCUAUGUGGGCCAAGGAUGAAGACAUAAGUCGCUUUCUCAGGUCUCUACCAAGCUGGCGCACACUGCAGCCGACCAAUGGGCAGGAGUUGAACCGCACGGUGUGUUCAGAGGAGGAGAUGCGGGCCCUGAACUCCAAAGAGGCAGUGAUCCUCAUAACAAACCUGUCGUCUGACGAGGCGUUCAUACCGCAGCAUGAGAUCAUCACAGAUGUCACCCAGAUGAGGACGGUGGCCAACGUACAUGAGAGUCUGGAAUGGUUUGCAGUUCGUCUCAAGAAUUUCUCCAUCACCAAGGCGACCCAGGCCAGUCAGCAACUUGUGGUUGAAUCUCCCGUCUAUGAUAGCUCCCCUAAAGUAUCACAGAAAACACUCGAGUCCCUGAAUGGUAUUGUGAAGGACUUCCAAGACCUCUCUGAGGUCUGUCUACUCCUCCUGCACCUGGAGGUCAGAGUGCACUGCUUCUACUAUCUCAUGCCAGUGGCCAAACAGUCCAACUAUGCGGGACCCAUAGAUGACCUUGACCCAGAUUCCAAUGUGCUCAAACUGAACAAGGACCUGUCUGGGAUUGAGGAGCUCCUGGCAGCAAGUCUGCAACCCAGCAAGUUCAAGUACAUAUUUGAGAGUCUGGGCUAUUUGGUGGCAUCCAUUCUUAUGAACAGUAUGCAAUUUAUCAAGAAGAUUAAUGAAAAUGGAAUCAAGAAAAUGUGCCGCAACCUGUUUGCCAUACAACAGAACCUGACCAACAUCACGAUGUCUCGAGAGUCAGAUUUGGACCACGCUAGACAGUACUAUGAACUGCUGUACCUAAACCCUGAAAAAAUCCUGACCCUUAUAGCUGAGAAGGGUUCCCAGUUCACGUUGGCAGAGUACAGUCAGCUGCUACAGCUGUACCACCGCAGUCACUUCACCGUGGACCAGGCUGUAGUAGACGCGCACUUGAAGCGCCUCAGAGAGGUCACAGAGAAAGGUCAUAAUGAGACCGUGUGAUUAGAUUGGAUGCAAUGGGACAUGUAAUUGGAUGCUACAGGAUGGUGCGAGACUGUGUGAUUAGAUUGGAUGCAAUGGGACAUGUAAUUGGAUGCUACAGGAUGGUGCGAGACUGUGUCAUUAGAUUGGAUGCAAUGGGACAUGUAAUUGGAAGCAACAGGAUGGUGCGAGACUGUGUGAUUAGAUUGGAUGCAAUGGGACAUGUAAUUGGAUGCUACAGGAUGGUGCGAGACUGUGUCAUUAGAUUGGAUGCAAUAGGACAUGUAAUUGGAUGCUACAGGAUGGUGUGAGACUAUGUGAUUAAGUAGGAUGUUAUGGGACUAUGUGAUUUGAUGUCAUAAGAUUGUGAAAUUGCUUUGGAUGUUAUGGAACCAUAUGAUUGGAUUUCAUGCCAAAUGACACCAUAAUACAGCUUCUCGCUACAUCAAAAUCAGAGUAAACUUACUUAAAGAUGACUUGUCAUUUAUGUCACAUAAUUUUUUAGGCAAUUAUUUAUGUGAGAAUGACCUUGAUUCUAGUUCCACAAUUAAUUUAGCAAAAGAAAUAUCAAUGUGACCUUGACCUUGAACUUAGUUCCACAAGCAAUUUUUUAUGGAAUAUCAAUGUGAAUCUGACCUUGAUCAAAGUUUCAUGAGCAAUUUUUCUUAAGAAUAUCUAGUUGAUUCAGCAAAGUCCAUAAUGAUUUUCUUUAAGGAAUUUCACUAUGACCGGGAACCUUAAUUAAGUCUUAUUAAACUUUACUAAAGAGGUUACAAACAUUUUAGUUAUACAUGUUAGUGCUAUUCUUGUCUGUUUGUUAUUGUAUAGAAAUUAAUUUUAUGUACUCAUGAGUAUUUAUAUGAUAUUUGCUAUAUGUGUAUUAUUAUUUUAUUAUUUAUACAUUGAUGGUUUUGUGUUGAUGUUGAUUUUUAUCAGAGAUACUGCAGUGGUAUGCAUGUGUGAUGCUAGUUUACAACAUCACAAAACACACAACAUGUAUGCUAUGCUCAUAUAAAGGUUUAAACGGUUAUCAACUUGUCAAAUUAUGCACUGUUAUAAAAGUAUUGCGUUUUGUCUCGUUAGUAUCCUAUUAAAUGUAUAAAACAUGGUCAAUUUUAUUAGAAACCUUUUAUUAAAUUUUAAAUUUGCUGUUACAAAAAUGGUCAUAGUUGCUUGUGGUAUAUCUGAUUGUAAACAUUAUUUGAGGUCUAUGUGAACUGAAAUUGUCUUACCAUCUCGUAUAAUUAAUGAGAUGUUUAGCAUAACUUUAGUGAUUCUCUUUAAAUUUGAUGGAGACUCCUACAAUUGGACUGCAUUGUGGGAAAACUUGACUUAUAGCAUUUGCAUGAAGUGUCGUCCCAGAUAAGCAUGUUCUGUGCAAUGUCCUUAAGCUAAUCAGGGACAAGACUUUUGGCUUUGAUUGUAUUUUUCAUUUUAAGGAUCACUCUUCUGAGCCAAAAUCCAAUUGAGGCAGAAAGAAUCAUACCUGAUUAGCCUCAGUGAAUUACACAAGCUAAUCAGGGACAACACUUUACGCGCAUGCAUUUAGUUACGUUUUUUCAGUGCGAGGCUUAAUUAUAUAAACAUGUUUUUAGCUCACCUGUCACAAAGUAACAUAUGAGCUUAUGUGACUGUGUGAUGUCCGGCGUCCGUUGUGCGUGUGUGCAUGCGUGUGUCCGUCAACAAUUUGUUUGUGUAGACAGUAGAGGUCACAGUUUUCAUCCAAUCUUUAUGAAAUUUGGUCAGAAUGUUUAUAUUGAUGAAAUCUGGGUUGGUAUUGUAUUUGGGUCAUCUGGGGUCAAAAACUAGGUCACUAGGUCAAAUAAUAUAAAAACCUUGUGAAGACAAUAGAGGUCACAGUUUUCAUCCAAUCUUUAUGAAAUUUGGUCAGAAUGUUUAUCUUGAUGAAAUCUGGGUUGGGAUUGUUUUUGGGUCAUCUGGGGUCAAAAACUAGGUCACUAGGUCAAAUAAUAGAAAAACCUUGUGUAGACAAUAGAGGUUAUAGUUUUAAUCUGAUCUGUCUGUCAUUCAUUGUGUGUCCCAAAACUUUAACCUUGGUUAAAGUUUUGCAAUAACUUUUGCAUUAUUGAAGAUAGCAACUUGAUAUUUGGCAUACAUGUGUAACUCUAGCAACCCCAGCAGAUCUUAUCUUAUCAGUGGAAGAUCUAAGAAAAUCAGCUAAUCUGCAUAGUGGUUCCAUUACAAGUUAUUUUAAUAAAUCAUCUUAUUUAAAAUCAAAUUAAUACAAAUGCAGAUUGAAAGAAAAAUCAAUUCUCUUUAAUAUGAUAUAAAUUUUAAUAAUCAUUAAUUUAUGUUCGCUGCUUUAUUGGAUUCAAGUACAACGUCAGUGUCCCAUUUCUUUUGUUUACUGCAUUUUAAUUGUAUUUGAAUAUUAAUGAUUUUUCCACAGCAAGAAAUUUGAUUGGUUAAACUUCAAUCUUGUUUUUGAAUGACAUAAAUGGGAUAUCCCUACGCUGAAAUAUAGUUUCGUAAAAUUUAACGUUUAAAAUACGCUUUUGUUUAACGUGUUUUUACAUUAACUUAACAUUCAAUCUUUCAUCUUUAUUUUGAUACCAAAAUCAUUUUUCGGAACAAAGAAUUAAUACCUCGCAUCUUUAUUUGAAAUGGGUAACCCCCAACAUACUCGCGUAAAGAAUUUCCAAGAUGGCGGUCGUGUCAAAUUUUCCAUGUUCAUGACGCGAUAAAAGGCCUCGUUUUCCGCAUAAACUAACACAAAUAAAGGUAUUUUCUGUAUCAUUCAUCCGGUAUGUACUCAUUUUAUUUUAAAUUAAAAAGUUUAUUGUUAAAACGUACAAUUGUCAGUAAUUUCCGCAUUAAAUAACUUAAUUAAGAUUCGCUCCACUCGCGAAAGAAAGUUGUCAAAGAAUUGAAUUUUACAAAAUUUAUUUUAUCUGUUAUUGCACGGAAUAAACCAUUAUUUCGAAUUCAAGUUAAGUUAACACUUAAUUUAUGACACACUUAUUCAAUUUUUACGCAAUAUAUAACUAGAAGAAAGUUUAAUGCACGUAAUUUUUUUUUACCGAGUUGAAAACGUAUAUAGAAAAUCAGUAUAUCAAAAUCCUGUUAAGCCUCGUGCCAGACAUUAGUUUGUCAAACGAGCGAACUGUGCUGUCCAAAAUAAACCUAUAUUAUAUAUAUUCCUAGUAGUACUAAUAGUAUAUCUUACAACUGUUAAAAUAAAAAUAAUAUAGUUAAAAACUUCACUUAAUAGUUAUUAAGCUUGCAAUUGUUACAGUAGUUUAUAAACAAUGUACUGUGGUAACUUUAUAUUUGUUAAUUAGUGUUGUUGAUAUUGUUGAUAUUGAAACAUUUUGUGACUGGAAAAAUAAAAAAGUGCAAAAUAAAUGUCCACAAUCAA
Molecule: RNA transcript, 6211 nt
Organism: Dreissena polymorpha
Lineage: Eukaryota; Metazoa; Mollusca; Bivalvia; Myida; Dreissenidae
Gene name: exocyst complex component 4-like
Exons: 31
Source: RefSeq, a predicted model, not a curated record